GACGAACGCUGGCGGCGUGCUUAACACAUGCCAGUCGAACGGAAAGGCCCUGCUUUUGUGGGGUGCUCGAGUGGCGAACGGGUGGGUAACACGUGAGUAACCUGCCCUUGACUUUGGGAUAACUUCAGGAAACUGGGGCUACUACCGGAUAGGAGCUCCUGCUGCAUGGUGGGGGUUGGAAAGUUUCGGCGGUUGGGGAUGGACUCGCGGCUUAUCAGCUUGUUGGUGGGGUAGUGGCUUACCAAGGCUUUGACGGGUAGCCGGCCUGAGAGGGUGACCGGCCACAUGGGGACUGAGAUACGGCCCAGACGCCAACGGGAGGCAGCAGUGGGGAGUAUGGCACAAUGGGCGGAAGCCUGAUGCAGCAACGCCGCGUGCGGGAUGACGGCCUUCGGGUUGUAAACCGCUUUCGCCUGUGACGAAGCGUGAGUGACGGUAAUGGGUAAAGAAGCACCGGCUAACUACGUG
This 468-nucleotide ribosomal RNA is filed under the name uncultured bacterium. RNAcentral's name for it is "partial 16S ribosomal RNA". It matches the Rfam family "Bacterial small subunit ribosomal RNA", at positions 28 to 507 of the family's 1533-position model. The record is from RNAcentral.